This 530-nucleotide ribosomal RNA is filed under the name Sirocalodes depressicollis. Its description in RNAcentral is "partial 16S ribosomal RNA". It matches the Rfam family "Bacterial large subunit ribosomal RNA", at positions 1809 to 2611 of the family's 2925-position model. The record is from RNAcentral. Lineage: Eukaryota; Metazoa; Arthropoda; Insecta; Coleoptera; Curculionidae.
AAAAACAUGGCUUAUUGAUAAUAAUUUUAGGUCUAGCCUGCUCAAUGAGUAAUUAAAUAGCCGCAGUAUCUUAACUGUGCAAAGGUAGCAUAAUCAUUAGUUUUUUAAUUGAAAGCUGGAAUGAAAGGUUGGAUGAGAAAAUAGCUGUCUCUAUAAAAAUUUUUUAGAAUUUUAUUUUUAAGUUAAAAAGCUUAAAUGCUUGUAAAAGACGAGAAGACCCUAUAGAGUUUUAUAUUUAUAUUUAAUGUGUCUUUUAGUAUUCUAAAACUUCUUAAAUUAUUAUAUUUGGUUGGGGUGAUUGGAAAAUUGAAUAAACUUUUCUUUUAAGUUAAACAUAGAUUUAUGGGUAAUUGAUCCUUAAUUUGAGAUUAUAAGAUAAAAUUACCUUAGGGAUAACAGCGUAAUUUUUUUUGAGAGUUCUUAUCGAAAAAAAAGAUUGCGACCUCGAUGUUGGAUUAAAAUUAAUUUUUGGUGUAGGAGCUAAAUAAAUUAGGUCUGUUCGACCUUUAAAAUUUUACUUGAUCUGAGUU